UGCGCAGCCUCCCGCAUAGGCUCCGUUUACUCGUUUCUAGAACGAGGGAGGGAAAGGCCGUUGCCCUAAACAGGCGAUCACGGUGCCCAGGACAGGGCCCGGCUGUCCCCACCUCAGCACCUGCCGUUUUCCUCCAGCGCCGCUCUCCGGACCUCCGCCCCGACGCCCGCCUCUUAAAAACUGUUUUCUCUGCAUCAUUUUUCUCGUCCCACGAGGCCCCGCCCAGAAGCCACCUCUCCAGCCACGCCCCCCGCGCCGACCUCCUGUCGCCUUCCGGCCGCGAGUCGGGGUCUCCCGCGCCCUCAGCCCCGCGUCCGUGUUCUUUGUGGCUCUUUCCACCUCCCUGCGCCGCCCCCACCAGCCCGGCUAAGCCGCAGGCUUCCCCGGAGGCUCCCGGCUGCACCCUUCCUGUGUCCUCAGACACCACUUCCUGUCCGCGCCCGUCGCCACCCGUGGAGAGCGUGGAGAACGUGGAUCACGGGGCCACGGCCGUCCGUGCAGCGUGCACGUGGGGACGGCGGAGGAAGCGACUCGAGUGCCGCGUGCGGACGGGUGGCCCUCGCUUGCACCGAGGCCGCCUCCCGCGGAGCUGGGCCUGCUGAGCGCCGAGCGGACUCGAGACGCACGACUCGACCCGGGAAGGGAAGCCGGCCACGCAGCAGCUCAGUCGGCGGGAUCCCCGGCCCCUGCGCUCUGCACUUCAGGCACAAGACAUGCACGACUCCCUCUUCCCUGGGGCGUCCCUUUGUUCCAAGGUUCCCGUUACCUUGGUGAAAACCUUCCAAGUCCUGCGUGGGCCCGCGUCCCAGGUGUCCUAGGAAGGGAGCCGGCAGGGAACAGAUCUGCUAAGUGACAUGAACCACGGGCUCCAUAACGUGGCCUCAACGUGGCUCCGACGGCAGCGACACGGAAAACGGCGCGGAGCAGACGUCUGACGCCUCCAGAGGACCUGGCCUGUUAACUUUGCCUUUUUAGGAAAAAUAACGUCUCCAUUUUUUUUCUGGUUUAAAAAAUAGUAUCUUGGGGCGCCCGGGGGGCUCAGUCGGUGGAGCGCCCGACUCUUGGUCUCGGCUCAGGUCGUGAUCUCAGGGUUCGUGGGAUCGACGCCUGCACGGGGCUGUGCGCUGAGAGCGUGGGGCCUGCUUGGGAUUCUUGCUCCCCCUCUCUCUGCCCCUCCCUCUGUCUCAAAAUAAAUAAAUUAAAAAAAAAAACUUAAAAAAAUCUUAUACAAAUGCCAAGGAAGGGGUCGUGCUUCGCUUCACAAAGGGCUUCUAAGAGGACUUAUCAGCAGAGGGUGGGAAAUCUAAUUUCAGAUUUCAGAGCUGGAAAUCUGAUUUCAGCGUAUGACCGUGGGUUUGACAGAAACCUUGGGAGCACGCAGAUCGUGCGGGAGAGGGCGCAGCUUCCACAGCGGUGGCCUGAGGGUCCCCAAACCCCCCACCUGAUGCUCUGCCCGGUGCGUCCCCCCCUUCCCCGCCUCUUGUCCCAGACCUGGAACACGGCCAGGACUUGCUGGUGCCCCUUCCUCCUGAGGUCUGUGGAAAACGAGGAUAAAAACCAACACAUUCUUGGGAAACACCUGACUGUGUUCUUCAGUGGAGUUAGGAGGGAAGACUUGCUUCUUUCCCUGCCUUUG
Felis catus (domestic cat) is the source of this 1636-nucleotide long non-coding RNA. RefSeq lists it as uncharacterized. Lineage: Eukaryota; Metazoa; Chordata; Mammalia; Carnivora; Felidae. The transcript is spliced from 3 exons. The record is from RefSeq and is a predicted model, not a curated record.